This 1022-nucleotide ribosomal RNA is filed under the name Bacillus velezensis. Its description in RNAcentral is "bacterial SSU rRNA". It matches the Rfam family "Bacterial small subunit ribosomal RNA", at positions 26 to 1030 of the family's 1533-position model. The record is from RNAcentral. Lineage: Bacteria; Bacillati; Bacillota; Bacilli; Caryophanales; Bacillaceae.
AGGAAUAGGGAUUGGCGGCGUGCUAUACAUGCAAGUCGAGCGGACAGAUGGGAGCUUGCUCCCUGAUGUUAGCGGCGGACGGGUGAGUAACACGUGGGUAACCUGCCUGUAAGACUGGGAUAACUCCGGGAAACCGGGGCUAAUACCGGAUGGUUGUCUGAACCGCAUGGUUCAGACAUAAAAGGUGGCUUCGGCUACCACUUACAGAUGGACCCGCGGCGCAUUAGCUAGUUGGUGAGGUAACGGCUCACCAAGGCGACGAUGCGUAGCCGACCUGAGAGGGUGAUCGGCCACACUGGGACUGAGACACGGCCCAGACUCCUACGGGAGGCAGCAGUAGGGAAUCUUCCGCAAUGGACGAAAGUCUGACGGAGCAACGCCGCGUGAGUGAUGAAGGUUUUCGGAUCGUAAAGCUCUGUUGUUAGGGAAGAACAAGUGCCGUUCAAAUAGGGCGGCACCUUGACGGUACCUAACCAGAAAGCCACGGCUAACUACGUGCCAGCAGCCGCGGUAAUACGUAGGUGGCAAGCGUUGUCCGGAAUUAUUGGGCGUAAAGGGCUCGCAGGCGGUUUCUUAAGUCUGAUGUGAAAGCCCCCGGCUCAACCGGGGAGGGUCAUUGGAAACUGGGGAACUUGAGUGCAGAAGAGGAGAGUGGAAUUCCACGUGUAGCGGUGAAAUGCGUAGAGAUGUGGAGGAACACCAGUGGCGAAGGCGACUCUCUGGUCUGUAACUGACGCUGAGGAGCGAAAGCGUGGGGAGCGAACAGGAUUAGAUACCCUGGUAGUCCACGCCGUAAACGAUGAGUGCUAAGUGUUAGGGGGUUUCCGCCCCUUAGUGCUGCAGCUAACGCAUUAAGCACUCCGCCUGGGGAGUACGGUCGCAAGACUGAAACUCAAAGGAAUUGACGGGGGCCCGCACAAGCGGUGGAGCAUGUGGUUUAAUUCGAAGCAACGCGAAGAACCUUACCAGGUCUUGACAUCCUCUGACAAUCCUAGAGAUAGGACGUCCCCUUCGGGGGCAGA